RNAcentral lists this long non-coding RNA (2113 nucleotides) under Piliocolobus tephrosceles (Ugandan red Colobus). Its description in RNAcentral is "lncRNA (ENSPTEG00000002349.1)". Lineage: Eukaryota; Metazoa; Chordata; Mammalia; Primates; Cercopithecidae. The record is from RNAcentral.
UAAAUCUAUACAUGAUUUAUUUAUUUCUCAAGUAGCUACCAAAUGCUUUUUACGCAUUGAAGAUUUGACAAAACCUUUAUUAGAAUCAAUUGACACUUGUUUUAAGUUUUGUUAUUUUUUUCAAUGUUUAAUAGAAAAUGAGUUAUUUACGGAUAUUAUAAAUUACGAAAUGGAUAAUGAAAAAUGUGAGAAGGAUGGAGAAAAAGUUUUUAAUAAUGCUGGUGAUAGCCAUGGUGCAAAUGGUGAUAAUGAUCAUGAUGGUGGUGAUGGUGAUAAUGGUGAUGAUGAUGAGAACAAAGACAGCGACUUAAACCAAGUGAUUCAAAAGUUGUUGCAAUAUAAUGAUAUGUUUAAUGAUAGUUUAAUCAAAGCGAUAAACGAAAUGAUGAACAUAAGUUCGAGCAGCAACCACGGGUAUCUUGUGCAUUUGUUAACUACAUUUGAUUUUAACAAUUACAUAACGAAGGUGAAAGAAGUGAAGGCGAAAGAACAGGCGGAUAAGGACGACGGUGCGAGUGAGAGUGAUAACAAUAUCUCGCCUUUGAACGAUACGCAUAAUGAUAACCUUAAUGAUAACGAGGGUAUAACAAAGAGUGGUAUAACAAAGAGUGGUAUAACAAAGAGUGGUAUAGCAACAAAUAACAUAGCAACGAAUGGCCUAACAAAUGACGAUACGCUAAGUUUAGCGAAAAAGUAUAUAAAACCAAAUGUGAAUGAAGAUAUAAGAAUACAAAUAAAUGCAUUAAAUGAACAAUUAGAAAAGAGCAAAGUGGCUAAUGAAAGAAACAUACAAUUUAGUAAAAUAAAUGAUAACAAAAUGGAAUAUACAGAUAUUGAAGGUUUAAAUAAUAGUGAUAAUUAUUAUUUAAAUAAAAAAGAUAUGUAUACAGAUAAAAGUCUCCCACCAAGUGUUAACACUUAUUUAAACAAUAUGUCAAAAGGUGUUUUAAACGAAAAAAAUAAAAAUUUACUACAAAAUAAAAUAGUUAAUAAGUUCAGUAAUUUGUUGCAUAGUAAUAAUGUUGGUGAAGAGUAUAAAAUAAAUCAAAGUAAAUUGAAUGAUGAACAUAGAUUAAAUAAUUUAUCUUUGGAAAUGUAUCAGAAUAGCUAUAAUGGCAUGUCGAAUUUGGAUAAUAAUGUAACCAAUUUUGGUAAAUACAACUAUUACAGUAAUAUGACAGGUGGCAGUAAUAAUAGUAUUAACAACAGUAAUAGCUUAAUGAUGGGUAAUAAAAAUUAUAUCGUAAAUAAUCGUCACAAUAUUUACAUGAAUGAAACUCUAAACGAUGAAAGAUACAAAAAUAAUAAUUACAUGAACAGUGUUAAUAACGACCUAAAUAAUAAUGUUGCAACAGAUGCGGUUAAUAAUAGUAAUAGUAACAGCUUAAGGGACCAUAACAUUUUACUUGAAAAAUAUUCGAACAUACUUAACAGUCAUAUGAGUCAUAGUAACAAUAACAGUACCAUUUAUAACUCUGCUUUAAAUUUGACUAACACUGCAAAUUUAGAUUCGUAUAAGUCCAUGUUAGAUACAUCAAAGGUACAGAAUUUAAAUAACACUUCGAGCGUGUUAGGAAAUAAUAAUAAUUACAAUAAUGUGAGCGGUAUUGAUAUCAGGGAUAGCAUGAAUAGUAUGAGCAGCAUGUAUAACCGUGAAAUGCGGCCAAGUAAUAAUGUGAAUACCAAUUCAAAAAAACCAAUCGAUAUAAAUUAUAAUAAAAUAACAACUGAUAACAAUCCUUUAAUUGUCCAAGCCAGUUUAAAUAAUACUACAGCCUCUAGUUAUAAUAAUUAUACUGGUUAUAAGAACAUAAUAGAUACUAAUAUUAAAAAUAAAUUUAAUGUUCAAAAUUUGUUAAAUAAUUAUAAUUAUAGUUAUGAUUCUGUGUCUAAUAACAAUUCUUUGAAUGUACCUAAUUUGAGUCAGUUUGAAUCUGUAAAUACAAAUAUUUCUAACAUGUAUAAUAAUGUAACAACUUCGCCAAAAUAUGCGAACAUGUCGCUAAACAUGUAUUCACAGAAUGAUAGCAUUGUUGGGAGUGGUAGUAGCAUAGACAGCAGUAGUGGUAUUAAUAAUAAUAGCAAAAAGUAGGAGCAAAAAAAAAAAAAAAAA